GACGAACGCUGGCGGCGUGCUUAACACAUGCAAGUCGAACGGAAAGGCCCUGCUUUUGUGGGGUGCUCGAGUGGCGAACGGGUGAGUAACACGAGAGUAACCUGCCCUUGACUUUGGGAUAACUUCAGGAACCUGGGGCUAAUCCCGGAUAGGAGCCCCUGCUCCAUGGUGGGGGUUGGAAAGUUUCGGCGGUUGGGGAUGGACUCGCGGCUUAUCAGCUUGUUGGUGGGGGAGUGGCUUACCAAGGCUUUGACGGGUAGCCGGCCUGAGAGGGUGACCGGCCACAUUGGGACUGAGAUACGGCCCAGACUCCUACGGGAGGCAGCAGUGGGGAAUAUUGCACAAUGGGCGGAAGCCUGAUGCAGCAACGCCGCGUGCGGGAUGACGGCCUUCGGGUUGUAAACCGCUUUCGCCUGUGACGAAGCGUGAGUGACGGUAAUGGGUAAAGAAGCACCGGCUAACUACGUG
Molecule: ribosomal RNA, 468 nt
Filed under: uncultured bacterium
Lineage: Bacteria
Description: partial 16S ribosomal RNA
Rfam family: Bacterial small subunit ribosomal RNA
Source: RNAcentral